This 111-nucleotide ribosomal RNA is filed under the name Peribacillus simplex. RNAcentral also lists the same sequence under 3 other names. Lineage: Bacteria; Bacillati; Bacillota; Bacilli; Caryophanales; Bacillaceae. The record is from RNAcentral.
UGGUGACGAUAGCGAAGAGGUCACACCCGUUCCCAUUCCGAACACGGCAGUUAAGCUCUUCAGCGCCGAUGGUAGUUGGGGGUUUCCCCCUGUGAGAGUAGGACGUCGCCA